GUUCCUUCCUCGCCCUACCCGACCCUGCAGUGUCAUUUCAGGUCGGGGUCGGAGGGAGGUUCUCAGC
Molecule: microRNA precursor, 67 nt
Filed under: Ovis aries (sheep)
Lineage: Eukaryota; Metazoa; Chordata; Mammalia; Artiodactyla; Bovidae
Description: miRNA (ENSOARG00000024751.1)
Source: RNAcentral